UACGUAGGGUGCGAGCGUUGUCCGGAAUUACUGGGCGUAAAGCGUGCGUAGGUGGUUUGUUAAGUCUGUUGUGAAAGCCCCGGGCUCAACCUGGGAAUGGCAAUGGAUACUGGCAAGCUAGAGUGCGGUAGAGGGUAGUGGAAUUCCCGGUGUAGCGGUGAAAUGCGUAGAGAUCGGGAGGAACACCAGUGGCGAAGGCGGCUACCUGGACCAGCACUGACACUGAGGCACGAAAGCGUGGGGAGCAAACAGG
RNAcentral lists this ribosomal RNA (253 nucleotides) under uncultured bacterium. RNAcentral describes it as "partial 16S ribosomal RNA". It matches the Rfam family "Bacterial small subunit ribosomal RNA", at positions 524 to 776 of the family's 1533-position model. The record is from RNAcentral.